CAUCACAGGUAACAGGUUAGUAUUCACUGGAGCACGGGAGGGGGUAGACGUGCGCCCCGUUGCUCCGUACCCGUGGAUUACUACCUACACGAAAACGAAGGAAGUGGGAGAUGAAAAAGAGACGAUAAAUAGAGACACAAACCAGGUGAAAUUGUUAAUGAAUGUGGAAGCAGACGAAGGAAUAAGUGAUGAAGAGAAGGAAUAAGAGAAGGAAUGAAAGAAUAAGAGAAUAAGUAAAGGAACAAGAGGAGUGUGUGAU
Molecule: long non-coding RNA, 259 nt
Organism: Portunus trituberculatus (swimming crab)
Lineage: Eukaryota; Metazoa; Arthropoda; Malacostraca; Decapoda; Portunidae
Exons: 2
Source: RefSeq, a predicted model, not a curated record